This 20-nucleotide unclassified non-coding RNA is filed under the name Chlamydomonas reinhardtii. RNAcentral's name for it is "small RNA Cre_0477". Lineage: Eukaryota; Viridiplantae; Chlorophyta; Chlorophyceae; Chlamydomonadales; Chlamydomonadaceae. The record is from RNAcentral.
AGCGCGGCAAACAGCGGUGA